Molecule: non-coding RNA, 187 nt
Organism: Oryza glumipatula
Lineage: Eukaryota; Viridiplantae; Streptophyta; Magnoliopsida; Poales; Poaceae
Source: Rfam
AAAAAGUAUAGUUUUACACUGUUCAUAUCCAACGUUUGACCAUUCGUCUUGUUUAAAACUUUUUUAUAAUUAGCAUUUAUGUUGUUAUUAGAUGAAUAAAUAUGAAUAGUACUUUAUAUAUGAUUAAUUUUUUCAAAUAAGACGGACGGUGAAAUGUUAGAUACGAAAACCCACACCUGCACCUUAU